UGGGGAAUUUUGGACAAUGGGCGCAAGCCUGAUCCAGCCAUGCCGCGUGUGGGAAGAAGGCCUUCGGGUUGUAAACCACUUUUGUCAGGGAAGAAACGGCCUGAUCUAAUACAUUGGGUUAAUGACGGUACCUGAAGAAUAAGCACCGGCUAACUACGUGCCAGCAGCCGCGGUAAUACGUAGGGUGCGAGCGUUAAUCGGAAUUACUGGGCGUAAAGCGUGCGCAGGCGGCUUUGCAAGACAGAUGUGAAAUCCCCGGGCUCAACCUGGGAACUGCAUUUGUGACUGCAAGGCUAGAGUACGGUAGAGGGGGAUGGAAUUCCGCGUGUAGCAGUGAAAUGCGUAGAUAUGCGGAGGAACACCGAUGGCGAAGGCAAUCCCCUGGACCUGUACUGACGCUCAUGCACGAAAGCGUGGGGAGCAAACAGGAUUAGAUACCCUCGUAGUCCCUGAGCGGGCUGGCAAGGCGCAU
This 472-nucleotide ribosomal RNA is filed under the name uncultured bacterium. RNAcentral describes it as "bacterial SSU rRNA". It matches the Rfam family "Bacterial small subunit ribosomal RNA", at positions 355 to 825 of the family's 1533-position model. The record is from RNAcentral.